UACGGGGGGGGCAAGCGUUGUUCGGAAUUACUGGGCGUAAAGGGCUCGUAGGCGGCCAACUAAGUCAGACGUGAAAUCCCUCGGCUUAACCGGGGAACUGCAUCUGAUACUGGAUGGCUUGAAUCCGGGAGAGGGAUGCGGAAUUCCAGGUGUAGCGGUGAAAUGCGUAGAUAUCUGGAGGAACACCGGUGGCGAAGGCGGCAUCCUGGACCGGUAUUGACGCUGAGGCGCGAAAGCCAGGGGAGCAAACGGG
Molecule: ribosomal RNA, 253 nt
Filed under: uncultured bacterium
Lineage: Bacteria
Description: partial 16S ribosomal RNA
Rfam family: Bacterial small subunit ribosomal RNA
Source: RNAcentral